CUGAAAAUGAGAGAGAUUUGAAAUCAGGAGAAUUAUUUUAAGGCUGUUUUACAAGCAGUCAGAUUCCUAGUUCACUCUCAACUUAUUGCAGCUGGGUGACUUCCCCUGCCAGACACCAAGAGCAGAGCAGAAGAGCAGAGGUUCCUGUAUAUAUGCAUGUGAGGACACAACAUGUCAAGAGCUUCUGGGAAGUGUGGUGUCUGAUAAAACCAGGUCUCAGUACAAGAAAAAAAGGCAGAAAUAAUUCAUGGUAGCCGAAGGAUUUGAAGAGAAUAGAAUUUUACAAGUACUUUGGAGAAAAGGGAGCACAAGAUGUAAGAAAAGGACAUUAAUAAAUAAAAAGACUGGAAGAGGAGAUGAGGACACAGACACACAGAGGGAAGAACAUGCGAAGACAGAGAGGGAAGAUGGCCAUGGAAAAGCUAGAGAGAGAGAGAGUUCUCAGAAGAAUUAACUCUGCCAACAUCUUGAUCUCAGAUUUCUAGCCUCCAAAGAAGAGUGUGAAGAGUGAACACAAGCAGAGAGAAUGUACAUUAAGUCACUGAUUUGACAACAUCUAGGAGCGCUGGCUCCAAUGUGAGUAGCAGACUCAGUCUCCCUUUAGUGCCAAGCAGAGGAUUACUCGUGGAGAUAGAGUGGAGCACCCAGGAGAAAUGGAUUCUGAGGAAACAAAAGCAUCGCCUUGAUAUUAUUCCCUUGAGUGUGACUAUAAACCAUGAAAUGAGUGACAGACAAAAACUGCUUAAGUUGAGGCAUAUAUUUUCACUGUAUUUUGGAUGCUGCUACUCUGACGAUGUAUUUUAAGCCCAGUAUUCUUUCUUCUUUUUUUGUUCUUUUUUUUUUUCUUUAAAUUCUCAUUCACUUGUGUGAAAGCUGCUCUUCUCAAGACUGAAGCUUUUCUGUAGUAAUGUCUGUUUAGAUUUGAAUCUACUAGGGCCUUGGCACAUAUGGCUAGAAUGCUCUAUUUUUAAAGAUAUAUUGUGUCUGUUAAUACAAAGGUCAUGAUGUAGAUUUUUGCACUUAGAAUCAGCAUGAGAAUGUGGAACUGUUCCUUGCAGAUCUUGGCUCCAUCAGCAAAUAAAUUAAAAUAAACUGGAGGCUUGAAAUAGAAAUAACCCUCCUUCCAAGUGUUUCAUUUAGAGAAUGACAUCCUGUUUUCUCCAGAAUAUCAUGGGUAAUUCUGCAUAUGAAUGAAUUUGGGAAUAGAAAAAGCCCAGCAAAUGAAACACACAAAAUGACUUUUAGAAUUUUAGGCUUCCGUAAUAAAAAUAAGUGACGAUGGUUUUCUCUUUAAAGUGUGAAGGGUAAAAGGAAACCCAAAACUUACUUACAUAAAGUUUUAGAGUUUUAUAACAAUUUGUGAAAGCAAACAAUAAGUUAAAUUCUACCUGUAAGAGAAUAUAGUAUAUCUUUAAGACAAUAUUGACACAAUUUGGCUGUCACUGAAGUCAGACCAGCUUUCUGAUUACAGUCACAAGUGACUGGACCUAAACAUCACUCACCUGGAAAACUUUGA
Long non-coding RNA from Symphalangus syndactylus (siamang), 1516 nucleotides. RefSeq lists it as uncharacterized. Lineage: Eukaryota; Metazoa; Chordata; Mammalia; Primates; Hylobatidae. The record is from RefSeq and is a predicted model, not a curated record.